AUCUGAGUCUAUAUACCCUGAAGGUGCCAAAUCCCAUCUGAUCUUGGAAACUGAGCUGGGCCAGGCCUUGUUAGUACCUGGAUAAGACACCAUCUGAGAAUGCCAGGUGCUGUAGGCU
RNAcentral lists this ribosomal RNA (118 nucleotides) under Anolis carolinensis (green anole). The record is from RNAcentral. Lineage: Eukaryota; Metazoa; Chordata; Lepidosauria; Squamata; Anolidae.